This is a long non-coding RNA of Physeter macrocephalus (sperm whale), 523 nucleotides long. RefSeq lists it as uncharacterized. The record is from RefSeq and is a predicted model, not a curated record. NCBI's taxonomy places the organism in Eukaryota, Metazoa, Chordata, Mammalia, Artiodactyla, Physeteridae. The transcript has 4 exons.
GUUCUCCGCGCCCCCCGUGCGCCGCCCGCACCAACCGAGCAGCAGUAGCCGGGGGCGGCGACCGCCUCGGCAGUAGAUCACCUGACAACGCGGACUUCGGGCUGGCCCGGCAGCCCCGAGCCCGGCCCAGCCCCCUUACCGUAAAUACCGCCGCCUGGCCACUCCCCCCGUUACCAUGGAAAAUUCUGGGAAAAAGAGAUAUCAACUAUUGAAGGAGAAAGAAGAGCUAAGGAGGUGGCCCCUGCAUGGUGUGGCCUGGAGCCCCUGCAGAUUCUGGAAAUACUCCUGCAAGAAUUGAUUCCACACAUGGACUCGCUGGCUGGAUAGGUAGGAGAACGAAUCUGGUUCUUGGCUGAAAGUAGAAGUCCUCCGAAGAAGGAAGGUUUUACGGCAAGCUAUGUGCACUAAUUUUAGAGAAAGUUCUGAGUUCUUUGCCUUAUCACCCACCCUCCUGAUAUCCUGCAAUCACAAUGUAUUAAAUCUGGCAUUUCGUGUGAUAAGCUUAUAAAAAUAAAGAAGUCAG